GCUACAGGCUUAACACAUGCAAGUCGAGGGGCAGCAUGGUCUUAGCUUGCUAAGGCCGAUGGCGACCGGCGCACGGGUGAGUAACGCGUAUCCAACCUGCCUUACACUCUUGGACAGCCUUCUGAAAGGGAGAUUAAUACAAGAUGUUAUCAUGAGUAAGCAUUUUCGCAUGAUUAAAGGUUUACCGGUGUAAGAUGGGGAUGCGUUCCAUUAGAUAGUAGGCGGGGUAACGGCCCACCUAGUCUUCGAUGGAUAGGGGUUCUGAGAGGAAGGUCCCCCACAUUGGAACUGAGACACGGUCCAAACUCCUACGGGAGGCAGCAGUGAGGAAUAUUGGUCAAUGGACGAGAGUCUGAACCAGCCAAGUAGCGUGAAGGAUGAAGGUUCUAUGGAUUGUAAACUUCUUUUAUACGGGAAUAAACGAAUCCACGCGUGGAUUUUUGCAUGUACCGUAUGAAUAAGGAUCGGCUAACUCCGUGCCAGCAGCCGCGGUAAUACGGAGGAUCCGAGCGUUAUCCGGAUUUAUUGGGUUUAAAGGGAGCGUAGAUGGGUUGUUAAGUCAGUUGUGAAAGUUUGCGGCUCAACCGUAAAAUUGCAAUUGAUACUGGCAGUCUUGAGUACAGUUGAGGUAGGCGGAAUUCGUGGUGUAGCGGUGAAAUGCUUAGAUAUCACGAAGAACUCCGAUUGCGAAGGCAGCUUACUAACCUGUAACUGACAUUGAUGCUCGAAAGUGUGGGUAUCAAACAGGAUUAGAUACCCUGGUAGUCCACACGGUAAAACGAUGAAUACUCGCUGUAGGCGAUAUACAGUCUGCGGCCAAGCGAAAGCAUUAAGUAUUCCACCUGGGGAGUACGCCGGCAACGGUGAAACUCAAAGGAAUUGACGGGGGCCCGCACAAGCGGAGGAACAUGUGGUUUAAUUCGAUGAUACGCGAGGAACCUUACCCGGGCUUAAAUUGCAACCGAAUAUGGCGGAAACGCUAUAGCUAGCAAUAGCGGUUGUGAAGGUGCUGCAUGGUUGUCGUCAGCUCGUGCCGUGAGGUGUCGGCUUAAGUGCCAUAACGAGCGCAACCCUUGCCGAUAGUUACUAACAGGUCAUGCUGAGGACUCUGUCGGGACUGCCAUCGUAAGAUGUGAGGAAGGUGGGGAUGACGUCAAAUCAGCACGGCCCUUACGUCCGGGGCUACACACGUGUUACAAUGGGGGGUACAGAGGGCUGCUACCACGCAAGUGGAUGCCAAUCCCAAAAACCUCUCUCAGUUCGGAUUGAAGUCUGCAACCCGACUUCAUGAAGCUGGAUUCGCUGGUAAUCGCGCAUCAGCCACGGCGCGGUGAAUACGUUCCCGGGCCUUGCACA
This 1356-nucleotide ribosomal RNA is filed under the name uncultured bacterium. RNAcentral describes it as "bacterial SSU rRNA". It matches the Rfam family "Bacterial small subunit ribosomal RNA", at positions 39 to 1387 of the family's 1533-position model. The record is from RNAcentral.